UUCCAGAUACUCGAGUCGAGAGGAAGUGUUGCAUUGUCAGCAUGUUGUCUUUCAGAUGAUUUGUCAAGCUACAAGCAUUUUUGCCCUCACAUAUUGGUGUAAAAGUUCCCACGGCUGUAAUUGAUGAAGGGCAUGGGAAUUCGCCUCAUUUGCAGCCAACAUUUGACCCUCAAUCAACAACCAGAUAAUCUGUUCAUUUACGUUAUUACUGUUUGGACAUCUUACUGAGUGUGUUUGCUACAUUACAAAUCCUCAGUACAGUACUUUCUGCUAUAAAGUUGGAGAUGAAGAUGGAGUAGUCCAGAAUGCAGUACCACAAGAACUUUCCACUUCAGUUUAGUCUUCUAUCCUGAGGGAUAUUGAGAAGCAAUUGCAGCUUUUAGAGGACAACAGUAACAAUGCAGAAUGCAGCACGGUAGCAGUUCAUGGAAUAAGAUCUUAUUUGGCACCCUAUGAACAGCAUCUUCAUGAAAGAAGAAAAAAGGGUGAAGCAGCAAAAACUGGAUGCCUUUUAUUAAGUCAAACCCCAAAACAGUCAGAAGACAAUGAAUUACAGCCAUCCACUUCUGGAUUAACUAUUUUUCACCCUAACCCUGCAAUCACAACUGCACAUGGAGGUGAUGAUGAUGAUGAUGAUGAUGAUGAUGAUGAUGAUGAUGAUGAUGACGACGACACUCAGUCCCUAAAUUAACAACAGAGCAACCUUAAAAUGUUCUCCCCCAAAAAGUUAUCUUGACAAUUUUUCGAAUGCCCAUAUGGAAAACCUCCCUUCUACAAUUUUUGACAUUUUCCUUUGGAAAAUUGAUUUUCUGGUUGCAGCAGCAGCGCGAGCGGGAGCUUGGAGCAGGAGCCUGUCGGGAAGCCAGUUCACUUUAUAAUGUGUGUAACUGAACGAGCAACCAUUCAAUAAAAUACUGCCAGACGAGCACAGC
Molecule: long non-coding RNA, 932 nt
Organism: Stegostoma tigrinum
Lineage: Eukaryota; Metazoa; Chordata; Chondrichthyes; Orectolobiformes; Stegostomatidae
Exons: 5
Source: RefSeq, a predicted model, not a curated record